CUGAAGCUAAUUAAGCCGACCAGGUUUCUUUCCUCUUGGGGACCUAGAGUGAAAUGGUUGCAAACAGCAGCCUCUUUGGGAAUGUGUGUAGCUUAUUACCUCUACAGGUUGCCCUAAGGGAACUUGGUAACAACU
This is a small nucleolar RNA of Grammomys surdaster, 135 nucleotides long. RefSeq annotates it as small nucleolar RNA SNORA70. The transcript has a single exon. Lineage: Eukaryota; Metazoa; Chordata; Mammalia; Rodentia; Muridae. The record is from RefSeq and is a predicted model, not a curated record.